GGCUGCGCUUCAAGUACUACAGCUUCUUCGAUUUGGAUCCCAAGACAGACCCCGUGCGGCUGACACAGCUGUAUGAGCAGGCCCGAUGGGACCUGCUGCUGGAGGAGAUUGACUGCACCGAGGAGGAGAUGAUGGUGUUUGCCGCCCUGCAGUACCACAUCAACAAGCUGUCCCAGAGCGGGGAGGUGGGGGAGCCGGCUGGCACAGACCCAGGGCUGGACGACCUGGAUGCGGCCCUGAGCAACCUGGAGGUGAAGCUGGAGGGGUCGGCGCCCACGGAUGUGUUGGACAGCCUCACCACCAUCCCAGAGCUCAAGGACCAUCUCCGAAUCUUCCGGUGAGUUGGGGGCCAGAGUAGGCAGCCCUGCUGGAGGGGUUGGUCUGCAUAUGGAGGGAGGGGGCGAGGUGGCCUUUCACAAACCCCCGCAUCCCACGAAGGCCCCGGAAGCUGACCCUGAAGGGCUACCGCCAGCACUGGGUGGUGUUCAAGGAGACCACACUGUCCUACUACAAGAGUCAGGACGAGGCUCCUGGGGACCCCAUUCAGCAGCUCAACCUCAAGGG
Molecule: small RNA, 564 nt
Filed under: Pongo abelii (Sumatran orangutan)
Lineage: Eukaryota; Metazoa; Chordata; Mammalia; Primates; Hominidae
Description: retained intron
Source: RNAcentral